RNAcentral lists this non-coding RNA (23 nucleotides) under Mus musculus (house mouse). Lineage: Eukaryota; Metazoa; Chordata; Mammalia; Rodentia; Muridae. The record is from RNAcentral.
UGAGUGUUCACAUCUUCAGUGGC